GAUCACAAUGACAGAUAUAAUAACAUAAUAGUAACAGAAAAGUUGAAAAAUGCAGAUUACCAAAAUGUGAGCUCACGCUUUUGGAAAAAAUGGUUCCAAUAGACUCACCAGAUGCAGGGUGCCACAAAUCUUCGAUUUGUAAAAAACGAAGUGUCUGUGAACCACAGUAAAGGUGAAGUGCAACAAAAUUAUGGUAUGCCUGUAUGGAAACGCAGAGCUCACACCCUUCUGAUGAACAGACAAGUGUCGGAUCCUUUUCUGUGCUAGCAAAGGAUUUUAAGGGUUUGGAAUUCUCUCAAAGUGUAAAGCUCUUAGGAGGGCGUUACUGGGCAAAGCAGUGCUUUAUCUCAUUCUCUUGUUUGCCUGUUCAAACUUCGUACCCAUUGUAGACCCACUUGCUGUGUUAUUGCAGGUUAAGCCCCCGAGACCCUUUUCUCUCGCCUCUUCUGUUCACUUACCAUCCCUUUUCCUUUUCAGGUCAUCCUCCAUGUCCUUCCGAUGUCCACAUGGCUCUUCAUUUUCUUCUCAGGCCUCCUCUUUCUCUCUUGCCAUCUAAGUUAUUGAAAUUCUUGAAAUCCUAAGCUGGCCUGGCACUGAGAGGUAAGCACCUGAGAGUGUCAGUCUUCCCUAGAUAAAUGGAACUGUGCACAGAUCUGGGACUGCUGGAAGGGUGUGAGGUAGGAGUUUAAGGAUGGCGCAAGUAGGGUGGGGCUAAAAAAGACCUUGUCUUCUUUAUAUAGGAGCAUCGAGAUUAAACUUGGUACUGAAUUCAGCAGUGUGCAGUUCAUUUCUUAUUUUCCACUGUAUUUCAUUUCAACCUAUCCUCUAUAUUUUACGAGCCCAAAGCCUUUAGAUAUGUGUAGAGGAAGGUGUGAUACAGCUUUCAAAUUCUUGAAAUUUGCCCAAGAAAUACUUUGUAUCAUGAGGUCUGCAGUUAUUUAUACAAAUCCCUGAAAAUGUUUCAUGGCAAAUCUGUAGCACCCAGUUGAGAUGAAACCAAACUGGAAAAAUCUCUGUGGCUGUGGUUAUUGUCAGUUCUGUAAGAUGAAGAUGGGACCAGUGACAAGAAUGUGCACUAUUUACUGAGCACUCACCUGCACGGGGCCAUGUGCUUUUCAGACAUUGCCUCUUUCAGUCUUGAGCACAAUGCCAGUUGUGCCAUCCCCUGACAUACAGAUGAGAUGAAGAUCCAGACAUAACCAGCAAGGGCAGGGCUGGGAUGCGAUCCAUGUGUGCCUGGUUCCCAGGGUUCACAUGUUUGCAGUGUUCUCUCCAGAACGGUUUGCCUUAAUGAAGAGAGGAUUCAGGAUGUCCAGUUUCAGCCUCACUGGCUGGGCUGGAAUCUUCCAUUGACCCUUCCACUCUACAUUCCUCCCUGGCCUGGGAGGCUCACUCGAGUGGGCUUCUUGCUGGGCUUGGCCAGUGGGGGUUGCCAUCAGGAGACAACAGGGCAUCUGCUUCUCCAGGGCAUCCCCCAGGGCACAGUGCUCUGUGACUCAAGGGUCUGCCCCUCAUAGUUUCCCUAAACCUCACUCCUCUCUUUGUAAACAGCCCCUUUAUAAAUUAUCCACUUUGAGGGUGUCAUCUGCUUUCUGUCAGGAGCAGCACUGACUCACUAGCAUCACUCCUAAAUAAUGUGAACUUGUUUUGAUUUUUUGUUUGAGGCAGAGUCUCACUCUGUUUCCUAGGCUGGAGUGCAGUGGCAUGGUCUUGGCUCAUUCUGGGCUCAAGCAAUCCUUUCACCUUAGCCAUCCCAGUAGCUGGGACUAUAGGCAUGCACCACCAUGCUCGGCUAAUUUUUAAAAUAUUUGUAGAGAUGGGGUCUCGCUAUGUUGCCAGGCUGGUCUUGAACUCCAGGGCUCAAGUGAUCCUUCUGCCUCGGCUUCCUAAAGUGUUGGGAUUACAGGUAUGAGCAACUGCACCUGCCCAAUGAUGUGAACUUUUAGUAAGUUACUUCAGUUCUCUGGGCCCAACUUGCUUUACCUGUCAAGCAGGGACCAUGGUGCCUGGUCUCCCAGAUUGUGAAUGUCAAAACAGGUAGAGAGGCACUUCGGAAGAUAAACACUCCUCAGAAUGGGAGCUAGCAGUGUAAUUCCACAAGGCACAGAAUGGGCACUCAGUGCAUAGCCUUACUGGAAGUGGAGCUUCCUUUGUGAGAAAAGGAAACCUCUGAGACAGUGAAUAUGUUUCCAUUCCGAAAAGCUUGAUGCAAUCAAAAUAGAAGAAAGAGCACCGCUGAAGAGAAUAAGUGAAGAGAUCGUUGUUUUGUUUUUGCUUGUUUCUUUUUGGUAGUGACAGCGUAUUUCAUGUAGGAACCUGUGACAAAGCUCCACAUAAUAAACAUCAGAAAGUCAAGGAUGAUGGUUUUGGCCAAGGAGCAAAUGACACAUGCCACAGCUUUCCUGGCAGGUCUCCUUUUCUAGAUUGUGUCCUCCCGGAUAGGACUCUCAAGCAGCUGCAACAGGCAUCUUCCAGCUGGGAAAGGCCACUUGACCUCUUUUUCUCUUUCGAAAGCCAGGCAGCUGUGAGUCCAGGCUUGUCACUCCUGGGUGCAGGCUCAGGAAUUGAAGAUGGGUCUGCCAAGCCACACACCCUCGUUUGAAACACCUCUGCUCUGUGGCCAGGUUUUUCAGCCCCUCCCCACUCCCCAUCAGCAGUGGCUUCUGGAAUUUCCCUGUCUGUAGAAUGAAAAUAGUUACAUCAAAAUUUCUUCCCAAGGAGCUAAUUGGAAUAUUGUAAUACAAAUCUUUGCAGAGAAUCAAUACUGAGAGAUGCUAAAGGAGAAUUUAGCUCAUAUAAUUACUAAUAGGUAUCUCUUUUCCAGGUACUCUGUAAGGGAGCUGAAACUUCCAGCCUUUCUUCCUGUUCACAAACCCACCUUCAUCCGCCCCCAAUGCUGGACUUUGGUUUUUCAUGUUGCUUUUGCAGAACUUUAAAACAUUUGAAUCUUUCCCUGAUGAGUUUUUGUCCUGAGGGGCCGGUGCAGUUUGCUUGGCACUUUCUUUUCCUCUCAUAUAAUUUUUCCCUGCCAAUAAGGCAUUUAGGCAGAGAGAAAAAGUUAUUGAGCAUGUGCAUCCAAAUUUGAGAUGAUUGUUAUUUCAUUACCUGAUGACUUUUAACUUCUUUGAUACUGUGUUUGUCUUAUGAAUGUAAUGGCUUUCUCACUUUAAUGAAAAGUUACGCAAUAAAAUUGAAAAGU
This 3199-nucleotide small RNA is filed under the name Pongo abelii (Sumatran orangutan). RNAcentral describes it as "retained intron". Lineage: Eukaryota; Metazoa; Chordata; Mammalia; Primates; Hominidae. The record is from RNAcentral.